GACGAACGCUGGCGGCGCGCUUAACACAUGCAAGUCGAACGGAAAGGCCUGCUUUCCCUUGUGGAUUGCGGGUACUCGAGUGGCGAACGGGUGAGUAACACGUGAGUGAUCUGCCCCCAACUUGGGUAUAAGCCUGGGAAACUGGGUCUAAUUCCGGUAGGACCGCAGGGUGGUGGCUGUGGUUGGAAAAGGAUUUCUUGGGGGUGGGGAUGGGCCUGCGGGCUAUCAGGCUGUUGGUGGGGUAAUGGCCUACCAAGGCGGCGACGGGUAGCCGGCCCGAGAGGGUGGACGGCCACAUUGGGACUGAGAUACGGCCCAGACUCCUACGGGAGGCAGCAGUGGGGAAUAUUGCACAAUGGGCGGAAGCCUGAUGCAGCGACGCCGCGUGGGGGAUGACGGCCUUCGGGUUGUAAACUCCUUUCGACCGCGAGGAAGCCACCUGGUUGGAAGGGUGGUGACGGUAGUGGUAGAAGAAGCACCGGCUAACUACGUG
This 493-nucleotide ribosomal RNA is filed under the name uncultured bacterium. RNAcentral describes it as "partial 16S ribosomal RNA". It matches the Rfam family "Bacterial small subunit ribosomal RNA", at positions 28 to 507 of the family's 1533-position model. The record is from RNAcentral.